GAUGAACGCUGGCGGCGUGCCUAAUACAUGCAAGUCGAGCGAACAGACGAGGAGCUUGCUCCUCUGACGUUAGCGGCGGACGGGUGAGUAACACGUGGAUAACCUACCUAUAAGACUGGGGUAACUUCGGGAAACCGGAGCUAAUACCGGAUAAUAUAUUGAACCGCAUGGUUCAAUAGUGAAAGACGGUUUUGCUGUCACUUAUAGAUGGAUCCGCGCCGCAUUAGCUAGUUGGUAAGGUAACGGCUUACCAAGGCAACGAUGCGUAGACGACCUGAGAGGGUGAUCCGCCACACUGGAACUGAGACACGGUCCAGACUUCUACGGGAGGCAGCAGUAGGGAAUCUUCCGCAAUGGGCGAAAGCCUGACGGAGCAACGCCGCGUGAGUGAUGAAGGUCUUCGGAUCGUAAAACGCUGUUAUUAGGGAAGAACAAAUGUGUAAGUAACUAUGCACGUCUUGACGGUACCUAAUCAGAAAGCCACGGCUAACUACGUG
RNAcentral lists this ribosomal RNA (497 nucleotides) under uncultured bacterium. RNAcentral's name for it is "partial 16S ribosomal RNA". It matches the Rfam family "Bacterial small subunit ribosomal RNA", at positions 28 to 507 of the family's 1533-position model. The record is from RNAcentral.